RNAcentral lists this ribosomal RNA (495 nucleotides) under uncultured bacterium. RNAcentral describes it as "bacterial SSU rRNA". It matches the Rfam family "Bacterial small subunit ribosomal RNA", at positions 1 to 507 of the family's 1533-position model. The record is from RNAcentral.
CACUGUACGAGUUUGAUCCUGGCUCAGGAUGAACGCUAGCGGCAGGCUUAAUACAUGCAAGUCAAGGGGGUAGCAAUACAACCGGCGCACGGGUGAGUAACGCGUACACAACAUACCAUAUACUGGGGUAUAGCUUUGGGAAACUGAAGGUAAUCCCCCAUAAGAUUGCGAGAGGGCAUCUGAUAGCAAUUAAAGUUUCGGCGGUAUAUGAUUGGUGUGCGUUUGAUUAGCUAGUUGGUAGGGUAACGGCCUACCAAGGCGACGAUCAAUAGCUGGCGUGAGAGCGCGACCAGCCACACUGGAACUGAGACACGGUCCAGACUCCUACGGGAGGCAGCAGUAGGGAAUAUUGGACAAUGGGCGAAAGCCUGAUCCAGCCAUGCCGCGUGAUAGAUGAAGGCCCUCUGGGUUGUAAAUAUCUUUUAUCUGGGAAGAAACAAUCUUAUUCUUAAGAUCUUGACGGUACCAGAGGAAUAAGCACCGGCUAACUCCGUG